RNAcentral lists this unclassified non-coding RNA (522 nucleotides) under Hevea brasiliensis (rubber tree). The record is from RNAcentral. Lineage: Eukaryota; Viridiplantae; Streptophyta; Magnoliopsida; Malpighiales; Euphorbiaceae.
GCAGACUUCCGCUAUGGACUUGUACGUGUUCGGGAAAAUGCUGAAUCAAUUGCUUUCUAUGGCGGUGAAGAAAAUGAAAUGCAACUUCUGCUGCAGCGCUUCAGAAGUGCUUUUGAAAAUUUAACACAAUUGUUGAUAUCUUCUAGAAAUCUAGAGUUNNUACCGGUACUUAAUUCAAAUUCUUCCCGCUGCUGUUGUUGCUCCUAUGUAUUUCUCAGGCAAAAUUGAGUUUGGUGUUAUUAAUCAGUCAGUAUCUGCUUUUAACCAUAUCCUUGGAGAUUUUUCUCUCAUUGUUUACCAGUUUCAAUCCAUCAGUGCUUUUUCAGCCGUCAUUGAUCGAUUAGGUGAAUUUGAUGAUGUCUUGGAUAGCAGCAGCUCUAAGCAACUGCCUGAGUUAUCAGAAGAGAUUUCUCUUUCAUACUGCAAUUAUAGAAGUUCACUCAUUUUGGAGUUUAAUGGGUCUAUUCCAGUUGACAGUCGCCAAAAAUUGCUUAGUAUAGAGAAUUUGACUCUACAGACACC